AGUUGAAUCAAUUAUUCCAAGCGAUUAAUCAAAAGAGAAAAAAGAAAAACCCAAAAAAGAAUUUUCGAAAAAAAAAUCUGAAUGGAAUGAAUGCAGCGAAAUUGCAGAUCAAGAAACAAAGAGAACCAAAACAAAUGCCGUUUGGACGAGCAGAUAAAACCCUAGAAUUAAAAUAAUAAAAGAAAAGAAAUGGAUACGCAGCUUGUAGGCGCGUUUGGUAU
RNAcentral lists this unclassified non-coding RNA (221 nucleotides) under Hevea brasiliensis (rubber tree). Lineage: Eukaryota; Viridiplantae; Streptophyta; Magnoliopsida; Malpighiales; Euphorbiaceae. The record is from RNAcentral.